Molecule: ribosomal RNA, 245 nt
Filed under: uncultured bacterium
Lineage: Bacteria
Description: partial 16S ribosomal RNA
Rfam family: Bacterial small subunit ribosomal RNA
Source: RNAcentral
UUGUCCUACGGGGCGCAGCAGUGGGGAAUAUUGCACAAUGGGGGAAACCCUGAUGCAGCGACGCCGUGUGAGUGAAGAAGUAUCUCGGUACGUAAAGCUCUAUCAGCAGGGAAGAAAAUGACGGUACCUGACUAAGAAGCCCCGGCUAACUACGUGCCAGCAGCCGCGGUAAUACGUAGGCGGCAAGCGUUAUCCGGAUUUACUGGGUGUAAAGGUUGCGUAGACGGCAGCACAAGUCUGGAGUG